UCUCCGUUGGUGAACCAGCGGAGGGAUCAUUACCGAGUUUACAACUCCCAAACCCCUGUGAACAUACCAUUUGUUGCCUCGGCGGUGCCUGCUUCGGCAGCCCGCCAGAGGACCCAAACCCUUGAUCUUAUACAGUAUCUUCUGAGUAAAUGAUUAAAUAAAUCAAAACUUUCAACAACGGAUCUCUUGGUUCUGGCAUCCGAUGAAGAACGCAGC
Molecule: unclassified non-coding RNA, 216 nt
Filed under: plant metagenome
Description: partial contains small subunit ribosomal RNA, internal transcribed spacer 1, and 5.8S ribosomal RNA
Rfam family: 5.8S ribosomal RNA (bases 167-216)
Source: RNAcentral